This 403-nucleotide ribosomal RNA is filed under the name uncultured bacterium. RNAcentral describes it as "bacterial SSU rRNA". It matches the Rfam family "Bacterial small subunit ribosomal RNA", at positions 356 to 773 of the family's 1533-position model. The record is from RNAcentral.
GGGGAAUAUUGGGCAAUGGGGGAAACCCUGACCCAGCAACGCCGCGUGAAGGAAGAAGGUUUUCGGAUUGUAAACUUCUGUCGCAGGGGACGAAAUAAAUGACGGUACCCUGUGAGGAAGCCCCGGCUAACUACGUGCCAGCAGCCGCGGUAAUACGUAGGGGGCGAGCGUUGUCCGGAAUUACUGGGCGUAAAGGGUGCGUAGGCGGCUUGACAAGUCAGAUGUGAAAUACCCGGGCUUAACCCGGGGGGUGCAUUUGAAACUGACGAGCUUGAGUGCAGGAGAGGAAAGCGGAAUUCCUAGUGUAGCGGUGAAAUGCAUAGAUAUUAGGAGGAACACCAGUGGCGAAGGCGGCUUUCUGGACUGCAACUGACGUUGAGGCACGAAAGCGUGGGGAGCAAAC